UAUGCAGAGUGAAGUCUCAACAGCUGAAACUUACUUGGGAACCAAUGGCGCCCUAACUUAAGAUAAUUCAUGAAACGUUGGUCUCCCUCUGUUGCUGCCCAGGCUCCAGACUGGAGUGUAGUGGCAUGAUCUUGGCUUACUGCCGCCUCCUCUUCCCAGGCUCAAGCGAUCCUCCCACCUUUGCCUCCUGAGUAGCUGAGACUACAGAUGACUUUAAAGAAGGUAGCUUCAGUGAAUCUUACACUUCCAAGAAAAUAAAUCCUGCAAAAAACCUGAGUGAGCUUCAAAGUGGGCCCUUCCCCAAUUCAG
This is a long non-coding RNA of Symphalangus syndactylus (siamang), 309 nucleotides long. RefSeq lists it as uncharacterized. Lineage: Eukaryota; Metazoa; Chordata; Mammalia; Primates; Hylobatidae. The record is from RefSeq and is a predicted model, not a curated record.